UGCACCAGUAGCUCAGCUGGAUAGAGUACUGCCCUCCGAAGGCAGGGGUCGUGGGUUCGAAUCCCGCCUGGUGCACCAC
Molecule: transfer RNA, 79 nt
Filed under: Pseudomonas fluorescens Q2-87
Lineage: Bacteria; Pseudomonadati; Pseudomonadota; Gammaproteobacteria; Pseudomonadales; Pseudomonadaceae
Description: tRNA-Arg
Rfam family: tRNA
About the family: Transfer RNA (tRNA) molecules are approximately 80 nucleotides in length. Their secondary structure includes four short double-helical elements and three loops (D, anti-codon, and T loops).
Source: RNAcentral